This 330-nucleotide ribosomal RNA is filed under the name uncultured Actinomycetes bacterium. RNAcentral describes it as "bacterial SSU rRNA". It matches the Rfam family "Bacterial small subunit ribosomal RNA", at positions 28 to 351 of the family's 1533-position model. Lineage: Bacteria; Bacillati; Actinomycetota; Actinomycetes. The record is from RNAcentral.
GACGAACGCUGGCGGUGUGCUUAACACAUGCAAGUGGAGCGACGAACCAGGGCUUGCCCUGGGGCAGAGCCGCGAACGGGUGAGUAACACGUGGGUAACGUACCCCGAUGACUGGGACAACCCGAGGAAACUCGGGCUAAUACCGGAUAUGUCCGGUCUUCACGAGAAGACCGAGCAAAGGAAGCUUCGGCCUCCGCAUCGGGAGCGGCCCGCGGCCCAUUAGCUAGUUGGUGGGGUAAUGGCCUACCAAGGCUGCGAUGGGUAGCUGGUCUGAGAGGACGAUCAGCCACACUGGGACUGAGACACGGCCCAGACUCCUACGGGAGGCUG